Molecule: long non-coding RNA, 2003 nt
Organism: Cavia porcellus (domestic guinea pig)
Lineage: Eukaryota; Metazoa; Chordata; Mammalia; Rodentia; Caviidae
Exons: 3
Source: RefSeq, a predicted model, not a curated record
GAAAAGCAAACAGAAGAAUGACUUUCAGCUUCUACUGGAAAGUUGCACACAAGACUGAUAGCCAUUCACCACACUGUACACAACACUGAAUAAUGGCAUUCACACUGUCGAAUUUGUCAUGUCUAACUGCUUUCUCUCAGGUAAUCAAAGGACCAUAAAGCUCUGAUGUAUGAGCCGCUUGGACACGUUGAGAUAUUUUAAGAUUAUUCAAGAAGGAGACAACAGUGAACUAGGCUUCAACAACUUGUGAAGUUUAAUGAAUCUAUUCAACUAGUGUCAGCCACAUCAAUAAAUAAUUUAAUAAGAAGCCGUCAUCCAUGAAGGAGAAUGCAGUCCAAACAAUUAUAAAGGAACAGACAAGACCAAGGUCAACAUUAUGAGGUUGACAAAUCUCGUCAUACUUGAGCCCCAAGCCAAAGAUAUUACACCAGCUGAGUCUGAUGAUUUUAUCCAAGUGAAUCCCAUAUUAUCAGUAAUAUCAAGAGAAACUAAUAAAGGUGAGAUAAUAUAUCUGAAGCCCAAAUUUGUUUUACUCUAAAUUUCUAGCAGAAAGACAUAUUUAGGAGCCACAAUGAGUGUGUGAACAUGCUCUAUUUGUCUUACGUGGAAUUGUUUGUUACUAAAUUGAUUGAACACAUCCUAAACUUAGAUUUUUCAUUCAUACCCAGACUUCUAGAUUCUCAUAAAAACUCAGAGGUACCACGUGAGUGAACCUCUUGUGAUGGAACUGUGUCUGUGUGGCUGUAGUUCUUUUGAAUGAAAUUUGAUUUCUCUAGUUCACCAUGGACAAUAAUCCCCUCUCUCAUACUACAUCCAUUUAGACGUUCUAUUUGGAUGAAGUGGCUGAACCUCAGAACUAUUGUAGAUUUUUAGCACAAGAAUUGAAAUAAGAAAUCAUGAAAAGUUAAUUAGCAGAAUCCAACCUUACCUACAACACUCUGGAUACAUUAUGCCUUAUAAUUACUGUUUCUUCAGUAUCUUCAUAAGAACUUUAGUUUGACCUCUUAUGAAAAAUAUUAAAGAUAAUGUCUCUCUAGGCUUGAAAGAACUAACUUUCCUCUCACUGUAUAUAGUUUCCUCUUGGCUGGAUAGAAAGCACAUUAAGUCUCUGUUGUGGAGUUGCUGUAGGCUCUAAAUGACACCUGUGGGGACUUGGGGUCUAUCCCUUGGAAGGUAGGACAGCCUGCCCAACUCCACACCAUGACCACAAUGGAUCUGGGAUGAUUUCUUUCUGUUUCUCCUGCUGAAUCAUCAAAUGCUUGAGCCAAAUACUAGACUUUGACAUCAUCUGAAGUCUGACUAGAGGUUUUUAGAUAUUCUAACUUAUAACUUCAUUCCUUUAAUGAGGUUGGGCAUAUAAAAUUUUCCUGUAGAAAGUACAUGUGUACUUUAUACAAUUGAAUAUACUUCCUUUAUAUUUUUGUGAUUGUUUUAAGCUAGUUUAUGAUUAUACUGAUUUUUUAAAAUGUAUUUUCACAACCUUUCUUAAAUAUCUUGAUUUGCAAUCAUUAAUGACAUGUACCUUUUUUUAAAGGAAGAAAAAUAAGCAAUGGAAACAAAAAUAUAUUCAAGUUCCAGUUGUUCUUCAUAUAAGCAUCAUAUUCAAUUUGCAGAAAGGUCAGUUAAAUGAAUUGAUAACUAAAAAGCCAAUAAUUAAAUGCCUAAAUAAAGCAAUGAUAGUAGAAUAGAAAUUUACAUAUGAACCUUUUACUACAUCAGUUAAAAAAUGCAUCUUUGGUUAUUUUGUUGAAUUGUAGAGAAGAGUUGCCAAGGCCAUAUGCAUAUGAUUCAAGUGAAAUUUAGCUUCUUGAAGACUUUUAUCUGGGAUUAUAGUCUCUGUCUUAUUUAUACAAGGUCUUAAUCAUAAAAGCAAAAACUGUACUCUGACUCAUAUUAUGUAAUUUGUUAAAUAACUUGUUCUUUAAAUGUAGAUAUUUUGGUUAUAUUCAAACUUGUAUAAGGUGCUAAUUACGAUUUCACUUAAAAUAAAUUUAUUUCAAUAA